RNAcentral lists this ribosomal RNA (250 nucleotides) under uncultured bacterium. Its description in RNAcentral is "partial 16S ribosomal RNA". It matches the Rfam family "Bacterial small subunit ribosomal RNA", at positions 524 to 773 of the family's 1533-position model. The record is from RNAcentral.
UACGUAGGGUGCGAGCGUUAAUCGGAAUUACUGGGCGUAAAGGGUGCGCAGGCGGCCUUGCAAGUCAGAUGUGAAAGCCCCGGGCUUAACCUGGGAAUUGCGUUUGAAACUACAAAGCUAGAGUGCAGCAGAGGGGAGUGGAAUUCCAUGUGUAGCAGUGAAAUGCGUAGAGAUGUGGAAGAACACCGAUGGCGAAGGCAGCUCCCUGGGUUGACACUGACGCUCAUGCACGAAAGCGUGGGGAGCAAAC